UGGGAGUUCUGCUGAGACUGAGCAGACCCCCCUGCCCGCCCGAGCUGGGCAGGGGGGGAGGGGAGCCAUGUGGCCGGAGGUAGGCCAGGCCUGGGCCCAAGGGUGGAGGAGAACAUUGCAAGGGCUUCGGGCAGCCAUCCUCCAUUCCCCCCCCCCCGGAGAGAGGGAGAGAGCCAGAGCCGGCACCUGUGAUAGUGGCCCGGCGUGAAGGAGAAGGGGGGGGUGCCCAGCAGGGCAGCCAAGCGUGGGAGUUCAUGGAGCAAACCGGCAGAGCCUGGGACUUUUAACCCUUCUGGGGAGGAUGGAAACCUUGCAAAUGCUGAUUCCUCCUGAAGUUGAUGAGAUUGAGAGGAUGUUGAGAAGAAUCCUAGGUGGGAGGAGAUGAUGGAGUGGCCUUUGGCUGGACUUUUCUUGUAUAGCCACAGCAGAACCCCUUGUGUUCCUGUGACACAGAGACUGCGUUCUAGGGGGAGGCGAUGGCUCAGAGCCAGGAGAGUGCAGUGAUGUGGAGGAGUGAACAGAGACGACGGGUGAGGAGGGUGGUGGUGGUGCCCUCCGCUUUGAAGAAGAGGAAGAGGAAGAUGAUCUCUGUUCAAGAGACCCCUCGGCCCCAGGGGGUGUAAUUUGGGGGGGACAAGUGUCCCAAAAGGAGAGGGACUGUGCUCUUUUUGGAACUGGACAAAGUAUCCUUAAAGGGAAAAACCCUAGAAGCAGCUCUGAUCCAUGUGCAGUGGUGAGAGCACUGGACAUGGAAGGAAGAAGUCACGAUGGCAAAAUGUUCUCCGGGCGGUGCCACACGUGACAUGGAAACACGAGAAGUUUCGACUGUUUCCUGGGGAAGUCUGUGGUGCAAGAGGGACUCCUCUCUUCUCGAGGAAUUGAGAACUGAUUAUCUAAAGGGUGGAUUUGGUGGUAAUGGAAUUGGAAAUCUAGGUGGGGGGAGGAGGAAGAAAUUUGGAAGGUUUUCAUCUUGGGUUCUAUGUGUUUUGUGUGUUUUUCCUUAGUGUUUUCCUUUGUAAUUUUAGGUUAAUAAAGUUUUUUUCCUUUAAACCUCAAGUUGGAGCCUGCUCUGCUCUGUCUCUGAUCACAUCUCACAGUGGGUGCCAGGGAAGGAGGUGAUCUCGUCGGGGCACUGGCAUUGCGCCAGGCUCAAACGAUGACAAGAACCUAACAUGAAAUGCAGAAUUGAUGACUUAUUGGGGGAGAAAAAGUUUCAAAUUAUAUUCUAGAGGAAGCAUUGCUUGAUUGUACUUUCCACAAAACCUUCUCAUCUUAAACACAAAAGAUAGGAUAGUGAACUCCAUGCAUUAUGGAUAAGAAAGCACGACAUAUGUUCUACCCGCAUCGCUGAAGGGCAGCAGAGAAUCUAUCCUGGACACAUCUGGAACCACCUCUUACAGACAUGCAGAAAGGUUCUGAUGUCUUCUCACUGAAGACAACCCUGCUGCUGCCAAAACCUUGCCUCCUAAACCUAAUACAUGUAUAUUGUUAGCUUACAUGCUAAUGCUGUGCAGAUUCACAUAUCUAGUCUGGGUGGGGGUGUCCUUAUUCUCUGCCUGCUCUGCAGAGCUAUGCUGCUGUCAGAAUUGCUGCUUGUGUCCUGCAUGUAAAAAUUAAAUUCUUCUAUUUCCAUUAUAUGCAGUUUCAGUAGUGAAAAAUCCAGCAGGCAUUUCAUCAUCACCCAGAUCUCUUCUCUUCUUCAACUUUUUGCAAUAGAUAUGUGUAACACUUCU
Serinus canaria (Common canary) is the source of this 1733-nucleotide long non-coding RNA. RefSeq lists it as uncharacterized. The record is from RefSeq and is a predicted model, not a curated record. The transcript is spliced from 4 exons. Lineage: Eukaryota; Metazoa; Chordata; Aves; Passeriformes; Fringillidae.